Bos taurus (domestic cattle) is the source of this 71-nucleotide non-coding RNA. The record is from Rfam. NCBI's taxonomy places the organism in Eukaryota, Metazoa, Chordata, Mammalia, Artiodactyla, Bovidae.
UCCUGGUGGCUCAAAGGGUAAAGAGCCUGCCUGAAACGCAGGAGAUCCAGGUUCGAUCCCUGGGUCAGGAA